CGGAGGUUGCAGUGAGCCAAGAUUGUGCCACUGCACUCCAGCCUGGGUGACAGAGUGAGACUCUGUCUAAAAAAAAAAAAAUCCAGGCUGCUGAGUGGCAGAUGUCACAGAACCGUGCCACAGCCCUGGGAAGAUGGAAGACUCCAGUGGCAUACGCAGGUCUCGCCUCUGAGUGUUUAGUGAAAUUCUGGAUUAAUGUAAAAGGUAAUCAGGAGUACUUCCCUUAUUCUGACUGAGCACAUACUCUCAGUCAGUAAAAGUCAAUGCCCAUGCUCCGCUCCAGCACCUCAGAAGAGAAACUGAUUUCCAGUCAGCAAGUUGACACGUAACACGGUUGCCCCCAAGGUGGGGCAAGGUUCGCCUGUGUGCUCUCAGUGAGCUUCCAGAUUGGGCAGGGGAAUGACUGGAGGAGGUAAGAAGCAAACUGGCCUCCACUUAGAAGCACGCAGUGUGGACACGGUCCACUGCCUGGAGUUUGUUCAGCAAAGUCCUCCCACUGGCAGGGUGGCCAGGAACUCCCUUCUUCCAGGUGGUGGGGAAGCUCGCCAUCUGUGCAGCCUCCUCUGGAGGAGACUGAGCUGGGGCGCAGAUCAUAAAUGGAGUUUCUGAGCCAGAAAGAUGGCAAAUGGGAUGAAUUCAUUUGCUGAGGCUGAGGCCAACCAGUUCUUGCAUCCAGGAUCCCUGGCUUGUCCCUUUAGAACACAUGAUGCGGUCAGGUGGAGCCAGCAUGAGCUUGAAGUCAGGAGACGGGCUGCAUGCGAGUCUGGCACCUGGUACAAUGAGCGUACAUCUCAGACUCCCAGUCAGUAUUUGAGGAAUGAACAAGUGCACGUUGUGAACUCUGACGGGUUAUGGAAAGGUGAGCAGCAGCGCGUAGAGGCUUUGACCGUGUAAAGGAUUUGAGUGUGCAGAAGAUUUGACUGUGAGAAGGAGCUGACUCCAAGGGCUGAGACUGAUUCUUCAGCAUCACUUCUUCCACUAAAGGAAGAUACUGCAGUUUGCAACUUUGCAGAUACCAGCAGAGGAAGAAAAACAUGAGAGACUGUUGAUAACCUAAAGUGGAGACUUAAACUUCAGCCAGACAAAGGCGGAAUCUUAAUAUGGAGGGGUCUGGCUCUGCAGGGAGGUCACCUGGGCUGGCUGGAUUUCAAUCCAGUUACACAGCAAAGGUUACGACCCAAGCUUUGCCGAUGCUGAGCCUUCUAUUCUCAGGGAUUCCAAAGCAUUUGAUAAACUCCUUGUUCCAUUGUU
Long non-coding RNA from Cercocebus atys (sooty mangabey), 1251 nucleotides. RefSeq lists it as uncharacterized. The record is from RefSeq and is a predicted model, not a curated record. The transcript is spliced from 2 exons. Lineage: Eukaryota; Metazoa; Chordata; Mammalia; Primates; Cercopithecidae.